CAUGCAAGUCGAACGGCAGCACGGGUGCUUGCACCUGGUGGCGAGUGGCGAACGGGUGAGUAAUAUAUCGGAACGUGCCCUAGAGUGGGGGAUAACGUAGCGAAAGUUACGCUAAUACCGCAUACGAUCUACGGAUGAAAGUGGGGGAUCGCAAGACCUCAUGCUCAUGGAGCGGCCGAUAUCUGAUUAGCUAGUUGGUGGGGUAAAAGCCUACCAAGGCGACGAUCAGUAGCUGGUCUGAGAGGACGACCAGCCACACUGGGACUGAUACACGGCCCAGACUCCUACGGGAGGCAGCAGUGGGGAAUUUUGGACAAUGGGGGCAACCCUGAUCCAGCAAUGCCGCGUGUGUGAAGAAGGCCUUCGGGUUGUAAAGCACUUUUGUCAGGAACGAAACGGUGGAGGCUAAUACCUUCUGCUAAUGACGGUACCUGAAGAAUAAGCACCGGCUAACUACGUGCCAGCAGCCGCGGUAAUACGUAGGGUGCGAGCGUUAAUCGGAAUUACUGGGCGUAAAGCGUGCGCAGGCGGUUGUGCAAGACAGAUGUGAAAUCCCCGGGCUCAACCUGGGAAUUGCAUUUGUGACUGCACGGCUAGAGUGUGUCAGAGGGGGGUAGAAUUCCACGUGUAGCAGUGAAAUGCGUAGAUAUGUGGAGGAAUACCGAUGGCGAAGGCAGCCCCCUGGGAUAACACUGACGCUCAUGCACGAAAGCGUGGGGAGCAAACAGGAUUAGAUACCCUGGUAGUCCACGCCCUAAACGAUGUCUACCAGUUGUCGGGUCUUAAUUGACUUGGUAACGCAGCUAACGCGUGAAGUAGACCGCCGUGGGGAGUACGGUCGCAAGAUUAAAACUCAAAGGAAUUGACGGGGCACCCGCACAAGCGGUGGAUGAUGUGGAUUAAUUCGAUGCAACGCGAAAAAACCUUACCUACCCUUUGACAUGUACAGACACCCUGCUGAGAAGUGGGGGGCUGCUCGAAAGGAGAACCGGUA
RNAcentral lists this ribosomal RNA (994 nucleotides) under uncultured bacterium. RNAcentral describes it as "bacterial SSU rRNA". It matches the Rfam family "Bacterial small subunit ribosomal RNA", at positions 54 to 1031 of the family's 1533-position model. The record is from RNAcentral.